Molecule: ribosomal RNA, 428 nt
Filed under: uncultured bacterium
Lineage: Bacteria
Description: partial 16S ribosomal RNA
Rfam family: Bacterial small subunit ribosomal RNA
Source: RNAcentral
GUGGGGAAUAUUGGGCAAUGGGCGCAAGCCUGACCCAGCAACGCCGCGUGAAGGAAGAAGGCUUUCGGGUUGUAAACUUCUUUGACCAGGGACGAAAAAAAUGACGGUACCUGGAAAACAAGCCACGGCUAACUACGUGCCAGCAGCCGCGGUAAUACGUAGGUGGCAAGCGUUGUCCGGAUUUACUGGGUGUAAAGGGCGUGUAGGCGGGAUUACAAGUCAGAUGUGAAAUCUCUCGGCUCAACCGAGAGCGUGCAUUUGAAACUGUAGUUCUUGAGUGAUGGAGAGGCAGGCGGAAUUCCUAGUGUAGCGGUGAAAUGCGUAGAUAUUAGGAGGAACACCAGUGGCGAAGGCGGCCUGCUGGACAUUUACUGACGCUGAGGCGCGAAAGCGUGGGGAGCAAACAGGAUUAGAUACCCGGGUAGUCC